UGGGGAAUAUUGGGCAAUGGGCGAAAGCCUGACCCAGCGACGCCGCGUGGGUGAUGAAGGCCUUCGGGUUGUAAAGCCCUUUCGUGCGGAAAGAACAGUCCCGUGGUUAAUACCCGCGGGAUUUGACGGUACCGCAGGAAGAAGCACCGGCUAACUCCGUGCCAGCAGCCGCGGUAAUACGGAGGGUGCAAGCGUUGUUCGGAAUUACUGGGCGUAAAGGGCGCGUAGGCGGUAAUGUAAGUCAGAUGUGAAAUCCUUCGGCUUAACCGGAGAACUGCAUCUGAAACUGCAUAACUAGAGUACAGAAGAGAGAAACGGAAUUCCCGGUGUAGAGGUGAAAUUCGUAGAUAUCGGGAGGAACACCAGUGGCGAAGGCGGUUUCCUGGUCUGAUACUGACGCUGAGGCGCGAAAGCGUGGGGAGCAAACAG
Molecule: ribosomal RNA, 429 nt
Filed under: uncultured bacterium
Lineage: Bacteria
Description: bacterial SSU rRNA
Rfam family: Bacterial small subunit ribosomal RNA
Source: RNAcentral